CCUGCACAAAGAUAAAGGUCAACUCUAAAUCUGAUUUUUAUUUUCAGCAUCUUAAUUUUAGCAUGUGAAUAUUCCUAGCAUGUGUAGAUUAGAUUUAUAUUUUAUACGUGUUAGAUUUGAAAUUAUUUAAAUUUAGGUCAGUUUCAAUUUUUGCUGCAUUCAUGAUUUUUAAAAGUUAAAAAAUUGUAUGUUUUGAUCUUUGCAUGCAUAUCCUGAAUAUGCGAUAUCCUUCAACUAUCUCACGUCUGCGAAUGCGGAGGUAUAAGCCAACCAUCCGAACCAUUCGGCCUCUUGACCCA
RNAcentral lists this long non-coding RNA (299 nucleotides) under Elaeis guineensis (African oil palm). RNAcentral describes it as "long non-coding RNA (EGUI_LNC041284)". Lineage: Eukaryota; Viridiplantae; Streptophyta; Magnoliopsida; Arecales; Arecaceae. The record is from RNAcentral.